GAUGUUGCACCAGAGCGCUGCAGGGUAACAGACUCAUCAUGGCUUAACCUUACCUGCUAGAUCAGACCCUUAGUGCUUACAGUCUUUUUUUGAGAACUAAAGUGGCUCUGAAAAGAGCCUUUUGGGUAAAGCCGAUCAAUCACGUCUCUGCUGCACUUCACUUGGAGCUGGUGUACUUGGUGACGGCCUUGGUGCCUUCCGACACAGCGUGUUUAGCCAACUCUCCCGGCAGCAGCAGACGCACGGCUGUCUGGAUCUCCCGGGAAGUGAUGGUCGAGCGCUUGUUGUAAUGCGCCAGACGGGAAGCCUCACCUGCGAUGCGCUCGAAGAUAUCGUUCACGAAGGAAUUCAUGAUUCCCAUAGCCUUAGAUGAGAUGCCCGUGUCGGGGUGCACUUGCUUCAGGACCUUGUACACGUAAACAGAAUAGCUCUCCUUGCGGCUGCGCUUGCGCUUCUUGCCAUCUUUCUUCUGCACUUUCGUGACAGCUUUCUUAGAGCCCUUCUUUGGGGCAGGAGCAGACUUCGCUGGAUCCGGCAUUUUCCUCCGCGUCUAAAGAUGCAACGUAAGGUAGACCGGGCAACUACGAACUGUUUCAGCGCGGCUUGCUAUGCGGUACUUAUAGAGCUUGUAUGCAAAUGAGGUUUCACACGGUAUUCCAUUUUUAUUGGUUGAUUUACAGCAGAGUCAGCGUCAAGGAGGCGGAGCCUACUCAAACCGAUUCUGGUUGCGAGCCUUGGUGGUGCUUAGAGGAAAUUCUUUCUAGCCAAUCGCAGCCUUCCAUUUCAUGCUAGCCUGUUAUUGAGAGCGGCAGUUUUGCCUCAGCUGUUCUUUAUGUUCCCUUCGCUUACAGAUCCUUAAAACACCAGGUUGAAAUAAGUUAACUAUCGCUCUUAGGUAUCACGCUUGGAAUUUUGGGGCUAUUUUUCAGGUUCACAGUUCUGAGACCCUAAUUAGAACUCCUUUUUUGGACUGGCCCAUAUUUGAGUAGUGAGCUCAAGACCAGCUCUAAAUGGAAUAAACCUGGGAUAAGGAAUGUGAUUACUGGUAACUGUUAGGCCUGACACACUUGAGGGCGUAUUUGAAACACUGAAAAUCAAUUUGCAAAGCUGACACAGCUACUUUCAUCGACAACGUAGGUGGCUCUGAAAAGAGCCUUUGUGGGGGAUGGAAGGGAAACAGGGCGCUUAAGCGCGCUCCCCACGGAUGCGGCGGGCCAACUGGAUGUCCUUGGGCAUGAUGGUGACGCGUUUGGCGUGGAUGGCGCACAGGUUGGUGUCCUCGAACAGCCCCACCAGGUAGGCCUCGCUCGCCUCCUGCAGCGCCAUGACGGCCGAGCUCUGGAAGCGCAGGUCCGUCUUGAAGUCCUGCGCGAUCUCGCGCACCAGGCGCUGGAACGGCAGCUUGCGGAUCAGCAGCUCGGUCGACUUCUGGUAGCGCCGGAUCUCCCGCAGCGCCACGGUGCCGGGCCGGUAGCGGUGCGGCUUCUUCACGCCGCCCGUGGCCGGGGCGCUCUUGCGGGCGGCCUUGGUGGCCAGCUGCUUGCGCGGGGCCUUGCCGCCGGUGGACUUGCGGGCGGUCUGCUUCGUACGGGCCAUAUUUUUGCGACUUCGGCUUGCAGACGCCAAGUGGCCAUACUUAUAGACUUAUCUUCGUCUUGAUUGGGCCCAGAAAGCAGGAGUUUCUGGACUUGCAGUCUGAUUGGGUAGAAUUCGAUCCUAUUUGCUGAGUUUCAAGAUGGUUACACUAUUCCUUCUCUCCUGAUACUUUUCCUUCCUGUAUUUAUGAACCGCAGAGGGUUUUAAAAAGAUAGUGCUUUUCAGUUGAUGUAACUUUCCUAAAUGCAGUGUUUAAAGUGUUUCUCACGCAGUGUGCUCUUCUAACAGGUUUCUUUGGAAACAAACUUGCCCUUUUCAUGUUCUGCGAUUCACUUUGUAGCGAGUCACCAGAUACUGUAGCUCUUCUCUGACAGUUAGCAUUUAUUUAACUUCAGGCUUUGUGCCCAGUGAUUUGAACGCAUUGUACCACGGCCGAAAGAUGACAAAACGAUGUAUAGUGAAAGGAACCAAAUGCAAACUUAAGUUUUACCUAUUUCGAAACCCUACCAAAGCCGGUCUUACAUUUACUGCACACUGACUAUCGUUAUGUAUGGCGCUCCCGCCUUUCCUUCUGUCUAGAGUGCGUUCCUUCCACCUCCCUUCUACACUAACGGCCAAUUAAGUCCUGCAGAUGAAAUGUUUAUAUAACAGAAGGAUAAGACUAGAAGUAUUAAUACCGCCUUUCCAGUGGAGAACAGCUACUAAAUAGUUAAACCUGUCAUCUAGAUGACAAGUCAAAAUAACUUUCAAAGCAAAUGAGCACUUAUUUAUUUGAUUCUUUUUCCUUUUCUUUUCGAGACAGGGUUUCUCUGUGUAGCCCUGACUGUCUUGGACCUCACUCUGUAGACCAGGCCGGCCUCGAACUCAGAAAUCCACCUGCCUCUGCUUCCCAAGUGCUGGGAUUAAAGGCGUGGGCCACCACAGGAUUUCUGUAUGUAGCCUUGGGUUCCUGAAACUCCCAUCUGUAGACCAGGCUGGCCUGUUUCUGCCUCCUGAGUGCUGAGAUUAAAGGUGUGUGCUACUAUGGCCUGGUUCAAAGUAAAGCUUUUAAUAGCAUGCCUGAUUUUUUGGUAAAAAAGCAUUGUAUACCAACCUUCUUAAAAUUCAAACCCAAAAGUAAAAAUAGGCCCAAGAUAUUUAAAACUUUCCUAGAGCUGACAAAAAUGUAUUAUCUUUUCGCUGAAAUUCAAGUAAAAUGAAAUUGAUUUUAAGGAGAUUCCAAAAUACUAAACACAGGUAGCAGUUUGGCAGUUUAAUUAAUUUAAGAAUCCUUCAGGAGCAGAAGUAACCUCCAAAAUAUGGCACAAAAGUAUCACUGAUGGGAGCUGUUACCUUCCUGUGGUCAUUUCUUAACAGCCGGCAAUGCUUCCUAUAAAAGUGGAUCAGUAGGUAAAGCCUUGAAACACAGAAACAUCUUCAUAUCGUACAAUCAAACCAUUCAGGGCUUCUCAAACGCUGCUGACCUUUCCCAUUAGAAGGGGACCUGCCCUGUGGGGCUGGAUGGUGCCCACACCAGGUAUCGUGUUUCCUGGUAAGAUUUUCUUUGUAAUGUAUGUACUGGAGCACAAAGCAUGUGGUGUUUAUUUAAAUCAGAAAGAGAUUCUCAAACUUCAGACUCU
RNAcentral lists this long non-coding RNA (3215 nucleotides) under Mus musculus (house mouse). Its description in RNAcentral is "predicted gene 20628". The record is from RNAcentral. Lineage: Eukaryota; Metazoa; Chordata; Mammalia; Rodentia; Muridae.